AGGUCUCCUUUCCUUCUGGUUUAGAGUUUUCAGAGUACCCUGCUGUGGCCUUGGAAACAGAAAACCCACACAGAGGUCAAACGCAGUUCUCGUGGAGUCACCUUGUCAUCCUGCUUUGUUUUGGAAGGAACUGGGUCGGAGGCAGCACAGUAGGACUACAGCAUCUUUAACCCUUGUGCCUAGCAGAGUUCCACAUACAUGAAAUAAGAUGCUUUGGGAAAUCAUUCUUCUUUUUGCAACGUCAGUGACUUGAACCAGAAACUGAUAUUGACUCACUUGGGCUCUGACUCUUUCCAAGUUACACAUCUGGGGGCCUAAGGAACUGCCCCAUGAGUUCCCGGAGCUGCGAUGGGCAUGGGACGGGAAGCUUUGUAAGCAAUUAAUCACACAGUUAGCCUCAUCUGAUCACCACUGGCCACGAUCAGGCCCUCUGAAAGUGCCUAGUUGGAUGCUUGCCAAUCUGCUAUGCCUUGGAGGAAAAAAUCAUUUCAAUUUAAGAAAAUAGACACAGAAGCAAAAAACCAAAGUGAGCCUGGAAGGUUUGCCUGUCUGUGACAGUCUACAGAGCAGCUGUUUGUGCCUGUCACCUGCUCAGGCUCUCACGGUGACUGCAUGGGGAGGGCAGGGUGUGUGCAUUGAUACCUGCCGUGCCCAGUGUACGCCGAGGUUUGCCCAUGCUGCAGCUGGAAGGCUGCAGAACAAAGGUUCGUUCCAACCUCUACACUUGAAUUGCAUUCUGCGUCAUCAUCCUGCCUUCUAGAACAACAUCCAACUCCGUGGGCUGCCUUUUAAAAUCUUGAUGGAGGGGGAGAGGAGUAUGUAUGUUGCUUCAGCCCUUAAUUUGCAAGGUGGUGAAACCACUAUGGGCCUGGCCAAAUCAGCAAGAAGGGGGCUGGAGGAAGGGCAGCUGUCUUGGGGUACACUGGGACUGGAAGGAGCUGCCUUCCUGAAGUCCUCCUUGCUUCUCUGAAGUUGUCCCAGCACAGCUGUGGCUUCCGGGAGAGGAAUGUCAGGGCCCUGAUAAGGAAAUGAAGUGGAGCCCGCACCUGCCCAGAAUGUGAAAUUUCUUCAGCAGCCUCUGACCGGGCUCCAGAUGGGCAAGUGCAGCCCCUCCCACACCUGCUGAGUUUGAUCUCCCUCCUCCUGGAUGCUGUGAGGCUUGGCACCUGCCCAGCCAGGCACUCAGGAAACCUGCUGGGGGUCUCUGAGCGCCCACCAGGGUAAACCAAGGUCCCUUUCUUGUGUUAAAGAGAAGAACUGGGAUGGAAGCGUGCCCAGGGCUCUUUGGAAGCACCCAGGAGGGGCAAUGGAAGGCUUCCUGGGAAGAGGGUUUCUGGGUUGCAUUUUAAAAUACACACAGGAGUUAGCUAA
Molecule: long non-coding RNA, 1371 nt
Organism: Homo sapiens (human)
Lineage: Eukaryota; Metazoa; Chordata; Mammalia; Primates; Hominidae
Gene: ITPKB-IT1
Product: ITPKB intronic transcript 1
Source: Ensembl